This 279-nucleotide ribosomal RNA is filed under the name uncultured bacterium. Its description in RNAcentral is "partial 16S ribosomal RNA". It matches the Rfam family "Bacterial small subunit ribosomal RNA", at positions 506 to 784 of the family's 1533-position model. The record is from RNAcentral.
UGCCAGCCGCCGCGGUAAGACGGAGGGCGCAAACGUUGUUCGGAAUCACUGGGCAUAAAGAGCACGUAGGCGGCUUGCUAAGUCGGAUGUGAAAGCCCUCGGCCCAACCGGGGAACUGCAUCCGAUACUGGCAGGCUCGAGGACGGUAGGGGUAAGUGGAACUCCAGGUGGAACGGUGAAAUGUGUAGAUAUCUGGAGGAACACCGGUGGCGAAAGCGACUUACUGGACCGUCUCUGACGCUGAGGUGCGAAAGCUAGGGUAGCGAACGGGAUUAGAUA